Molecule: ribosomal RNA, 440 nt
Filed under: uncultured bacterium
Lineage: Bacteria
Description: partial 16S ribosomal RNA
Rfam family: Bacterial small subunit ribosomal RNA
Source: RNAcentral
CCUACGGGAGGCAGCAGUGGGGAAUAUUGCACAAUGGGGGAAACCCUGAUGCAGCGACGCCGCGUGAAGGAAGAAGUAUUUCGGUAUGUAAACUUCUAUCAGCAGGGAAGAAAAUGACGGUACCUGACCAAGAAGCCCCGGCUAACUACGUGCCAGCAGCCGUGGCAAUACGUAGGGGGCAAGCGUUAUCCGGAUUUACUGGGUGUAAAGGGAGCGUAGGCGGUUUAGCAAGUCAGAAGUGAAAGCCCGGGGCUCAACUCCGGGACUGCUUUUGAAACUGUUGAACUAGAUUGCAGGAGAGGUAAGUGGAAUUCCUAGUGUAGCGGUGAAAUGCGUAGAUAUUAGGAGGAACACCAGUGGCGAAGGCGGCUUACUGGACUGUAAAUGACGCUGAGGCUCGAAAGCGUGGGGAGCAAACAGGAUUAGAUACCCCUGUAGUC